GUAAAUGAUAGAAUAAUCUAGAUCUUGUUGUAUCUAGAAUGAUCCUAACAUAAGUAUAAAUAGGGUGUCCUUAGUCAUUUAUAUGCAACCCAGAACAAAGACAAUUAAAAAGUCUUCCUUCAUAACAAAGUUCUUCUAUCCAAAUUCUUACUUUUCUUUUCUUUCUCUUCUUUAGUUGAAUCUUUUAAUUUUAGUUAACGAUCUUGGGCUAACAAUCUUUUUCCCGAUUAUACUUUUCUUUUGCUAUCUUUUCACAAGUUGGGAUCAUUCUAGUCAAUUUUAAAGAAAAGGCAAGAUUUCUGGUAGGUUUUGCUGGAUCGUUCUAGUCAAUUUUAAGUCUUCUCAAAGAGAUCAAAUGGAAUCAGAACCCUCACGUCGACACAAAAAGCGGAGGAAACACAUAAGCGGCUUCCGGUGAAGCCCCUCUUCCAAUUCAGGUAUGUAUCAAAAAGCUGACUUAUCUCAGUCCCUCUUGUGAUUUGUGGAAUGAUACAUUUUCAACAAGGAAGAGAACAAGAGGAAUGCCAAAUCAAGAAAUCUGGCUAGUGGAGAAAUGAAAUUGUAUAUGCUUAUGAUUUCUUGGUUUUGGCUACUAGAGAAAACAAUGAAGGCCAUAUUUCAAAAGUGGAAGGCCUUGAAAAUUUCAAUGAGAGAAAAAAUGAAGAUAAAAAAGUAUUAGUUGUUGGAUCUGGAAAUUCUGAUAUAGAAAUUGCUUUUGAUCUUUGAAAUUAUGGAAGUCAAACAUCAAUUGUUGUUAGAAGUCCAAGAAGUUUCUCAAUUUUGUCUUUACUUCUUUUUGGUUUGCAUCAAUGUAGGUUUGUGUUUGUUGAAUUUGUAAUUGAUAUCGAUGAUGUUCGAUCAGUUUA
This is a non-coding RNA of Solanum lycopersicum (tomato), 866 nucleotides long. The record is from RefSeq and is a predicted model, not a curated record. NCBI's taxonomy places the organism in Eukaryota, Viridiplantae, Streptophyta, Magnoliopsida, Solanales, Solanaceae.